This 86-nucleotide transfer RNA is filed under the name Tetraselmis marina. RNAcentral's name for it is "tRNA-Ser". It matches the Rfam family "tRNA". Rfam says of the family: Transfer RNA (tRNA) molecules are approximately 80 nucleotides in length. Their secondary structure includes four short double-helical elements and three loops (D, anti-codon, and T loops). Further hydrogen bonds mediate the characteristic L-shaped molecular structure. tRNAs have two regions of fundamental functional importance: the anti-codon, which is responsible for specific mRNA codon recognition, and the 3' end, to which the tRNAs corresponding amino acid is attached (by aminoacyl-tRNA synthetases). tRNAs cope with the degeneracy of the genetic code in two manners: having more than one tRNA (with a specific anti-codon) for a particular amino acid; and 'wobble' base-pairing, i.e. permitting non-standard base-pairing at the 3rd anti-codon position. The record is from RNAcentral. Lineage: Eukaryota; Viridiplantae; Chlorophyta; Chlorodendrophyceae; Chlorodendrales; Chlorodendraceae.
GGAAAGGUGGCAGAGUGGUCGAUUGCACCGGUUUUGAAAACCGGCGUAGCGAGAGCUACCGGGGGUUCGAAUCCCCCCCUUUCCGC